AUACGUAGGUGGCAAGCGUUGUCCGGAAUUAUUGGGCGUAAAGCGCGCGCAGGUGGUUCCUUAAGUCUGAUGUGAAAGCCCCAGGCUCAACCGGGGAGGGUCAUUGGAAACUGGGGAACUUGAGUGCAGAAGAGGAUAGUGGAAUUCCAAGUGUAGCGGUGAAAUGCGUAGAGAUUUGGAGGAACACCAGUGGCGAAGGCGACUGUCAGGUCUGCAACUGACACUGAGGCGCGAAAGAGUGGGGAGAAGACAGUCUUAGAUACCCUGGUAGCCCACGCCGUAAACGAGGAGUGCUAAGUGUUGGGGGGUUUCCGCCCCUCAGUGCUGCAGCUAAAGCAUUAAGCACUCCGCCUGGGGAGUACGGUCGCAAGACUGAAACUCAAAUGAAUUGCCGGGG
Molecule: ribosomal RNA, 397 nt
Filed under: uncultured bacterium
Lineage: Bacteria
Description: partial 16S ribosomal RNA
Rfam family: Bacterial small subunit ribosomal RNA
Source: RNAcentral